GGCGAGGUGACAGACCGUGGGGAGGAAGCCCGAGCCAAAGCUGCGAGGUGACGAACAGAAACGUCAUGAAGGCGGCGAGCUUUCUGAGGCGAGUGGCCCCAGGACCACGAAGCCGUUUCCGACAGGACUCGUCGUAGUUGACGCACUUGUGCAGCGAAAGUUCACGUC
This 168-nucleotide non-coding RNA is filed under the name Novipirellula herctigrandis. The record is from RNAcentral. Lineage: Bacteria; Pseudomonadati; Planctomycetota; Planctomycetia; Pirellulales; Pirellulaceae.